This 405-nucleotide long non-coding RNA is filed under the name Elaeis guineensis (African oil palm). Its description in RNAcentral is "long non-coding RNA (EGUI_LNC080322)". Lineage: Eukaryota; Viridiplantae; Streptophyta; Magnoliopsida; Arecales; Arecaceae. The record is from RNAcentral.
UGGUUGCUAGCGUGGAAGGAGUUCCGAUGGGCGGCCGUUCGGCAUGGCGCCGCCUACGGCGACCGGCGUCGAUUCCUUCCCGCUAUUCCCCUUCCUCCCAUCACCGAUCAAAUAAUAAUAAUAAUAAUAAUAAAAAGGAACAAAGGCCAGCGAUUCCCUUCUCCUGUUUCCACGGCCUGACUGCAGGCGAUCGUCCAGCAGGCGGUGCCGUCCGGGCAAUCAGGCGGCGAUCGGGACGAGGCCGCGGUGAGAGGCCGGCAAUCCCCAUCUAGAUCUAAAAAUCCAAACACAAAUAAAAAAAGAAAAAAAAAAGAAGGAUGGAGGGACGGUGGUUCCCGCCGUCGUGCCCUCUUCCCUCCCAUCAUACGGUGGCUGGACUGGUCACCGGCGGCCAUUUGGAAGAGG